Molecule: ribosomal RNA, 566 nt
Filed under: uncultured bacterium
Lineage: Bacteria
Description: partial 16S ribosomal RNA
Rfam family: Bacterial small subunit ribosomal RNA
Source: RNAcentral
UGGGGAAUUUUGGACAAUGGGCGAAAGCCUGAUCCAGCAAUGCCGCGUGUGUGAAGAAGGCCUUCGGGUUGUAAAGCACUUUUGUCCGGAAAGAAAUCCUUGGCUCUAAUACAGUCGGGGGAUGACGGUACCGGAAGAAUAAGCACCGGCUAACUACGUGCCAGCAGCCGCGGUAAUACGUAGGGUGCAAGCGUUAAUCGGAAUUACUGGGCGUAAAGCGUGCGCAGGCGGUUUGCUAAGACCGAUGUGAAAUCCCCGGGCUCAACCUGGGAACUGCAUUGGUGACUGGCAGGCUAGAGUAUGGCAGAGGGGGGUAGAAUUCCACGUGUAGCAGUGAAAUGCGUAGAGAUGUGGAGGAAUACCGAUGGCGAAGGCAGCCCCCUGGGCCAAUACUGACGCUCAUGCACGAAAGCGUGGGGAGCAAACAGGAUUAGAUACCCUGGUAGUCCACGCCCUAAACGAUGUCAACUAGUUGUUGGGGGAUUCAUUUCCUUAGUAACGUAGCUAACGCGUGAAGUUGACCGCCUGGGGAGUACGGUCGCAAGAUUAAAACUCAAAGGAAUUGA